GUACAGAUGGCCAGGUGAAAACGUGAGGUCAAUGGCAAUGAGGCUUGCUAGGACGGAAGACGGAGCAGAGGAUGACAUCACAGAGUAUGUAGCUGCAUGUAGUUCCAGAUGCUACUCUUAUAGCAUCAAACCUGGUGCAAAGGUGAAAUAUGCUUAAUACUAAAAUACUAAUACUAUAGAACUACCUACUCAACAUAUGCAUUUCAAAUGUAAAUUAAUAAAUCCGAGUUGUGGCAGACUCGAAGAAUAGAUGACCUUCGCCAAAGGCUUCGUAUGAGAGGCUUUCGAUGCAACCUUGUCUACACUCACGCAGCUUCAAGGCUAAAUGUGGUGCC
This 335-nucleotide long non-coding RNA is filed under the name Gossypium barbadense (sea-island cotton). RNAcentral's name for it is "long non-coding RNA (GBAR_LNC016264)". Lineage: Eukaryota; Viridiplantae; Streptophyta; Magnoliopsida; Malvales; Malvaceae. The record is from RNAcentral.